AUGAGCGAUUUCCGGCCAAUCAGUCUCAUCCACUCUGUCGCCAAGCUGUUUUCAAAAGUCCUGUCCAUUCGCCUCGCCAACGUCAUCGACAAGCUCAUCAGCCUAGCGCAAACAACUUUUCAGAGGAGGAAGUGCAUACAAGACAGUUUCCUAUAUGUGCAGAACACGAUCAGAAAAUUGCAUCACAGCAAAACCCCGGCGCUAUUGCUGAAGCUUGACAUAGCUAAGGCUUUCGACUAUGUUUCUUGGGAAUAUCUGUUAGAACUUUUAGAGGUGCUCGGAUUUCCCCCGCGAUGGAGAGACUGGAUUUCUCUUCUGUUAUCGAUGUCGUCCUCAUCUUGCCUCCUAAAUGGGGUGCCAGGAGACUGCAUUGAUCACUUUUGA
RNAcentral lists this ribosomal RNA (384 nucleotides) under Triticum aestivum (bread wheat). RNAcentral describes it as "partial small subunit ribosomal RNA". The record is from RNAcentral. Lineage: Eukaryota; Viridiplantae; Streptophyta; Magnoliopsida; Poales; Poaceae.